RNAcentral lists this ribosomal RNA (497 nucleotides) under uncultured bacterium. RNAcentral's name for it is "partial 16S ribosomal RNA". It matches the Rfam family "Bacterial small subunit ribosomal RNA", at positions 28 to 507 of the family's 1533-position model. The record is from RNAcentral.
GAUGAACGCUGGCGGCGUGCCUAAUACAUGCAAGUCGAGCGAACAGACGAGGAGCUUGCUCCUCUGACGUUAGCGGCGGACGGGUGAGUAACACGUGGAUAACCUACCUAUAAGACUGGGAUAACUUCGGGAAACCGGAGCUAAUACCGGAUAAUAUAUUGAACCGCAUGGUUCAAUAGUGAAAGACGGUUUUGCUGUCACUUAUAGAUGGAUCCGCGCCGCAUUAGCUAGUUGGUAAGGUAACGGCUUACCAAGGCAACGAUGCGUAGCCGACCUGAGAGGUACUCGGGCCCCACUAGAACUCUCCCACGCUCCAGGCUCCUGCGGGGGGCCGCGGUGGGGCUUCUUCGGCAAUGGUCACAGGUUUGACGGACCACCGCCGCUUGGGUAAUAAAGUUCUUCGGUUCUUAAACCCUUUUUAUCAGUAAAAAACAAAUUUGUAAUUAACUACGCCCUUCUUGCCGCUACCUAAUCAGAAGGCCCCGCCUACCUCCGUC